UAGGGAAUCUUCGGCAAUGGACGAAAGUCUGACCGAGCAACGCCGCGUGAGUGAAGAAGGUUUUCGGAUCGUAAAACUCUGUUGUUAGAGAAGAACAAGGACGUUAGUAACUGAACGUCCCCUGACGGUAUCUAACCAGAAAGCCACGGCUAACUACGUGCCAGCAGCCGCGGUAAUACGUAGGUGGCAAGCGUUGUCCGGAUUUAUUGGGCGUAAAGCGAGCGCAGGCGGUUUCUUAAGUCUGUUGUGAAAGCCCCCGGCUCAACCGGGGAGGGUCAUUGGAAACUGGGAGACUUGAGUGCAGAAGAGGAGAGUGGAAUUCCAUGUGUAGCGGUGAAAUGCGUAGAUAUAUGGAGGAACACCAGUGGCGAAGGCGGCUCUCUGGUCUGUUACUGACGCUGGGGCUCGAAAGCGUGGGGAGCAAACAGG
Molecule: ribosomal RNA, 429 nt
Filed under: Gemmatimonadota bacterium
Lineage: Bacteria; Pseudomonadati; Gemmatimonadota
Description: Gemmatimonadetes bacterium partial 16S ribosomal RNA
Rfam family: Bacterial small subunit ribosomal RNA
Source: RNAcentral